AUGGUAGAGGUGCGGUACUUAUCAGUACUUCGGUUUGUACGACGGAUAAUCGGAACCGAACGAAAGGAAAUACCGCCGAAACAUACGGCUUUUUGUCCGAAAGACGCAUGUUGGGAUGCAAAAUAAUAUUUUGCAGACUGUCACAGGUGUGAAGCGCUAUC
RNAcentral lists this non-coding RNA (161 nucleotides) under human gut metagenome. RNAcentral's name for it is "Lysine riboswitch". It matches the Rfam family "Lysine riboswitch aptamer". Rfam says of the family: Riboswitches are metabolite binding domains within certain messenger RNAs that serve as precision sensors for their corresponding targets. The record is from RNAcentral.